UGGGGAAUAUUGCACAAUGGGCGAAAGCCUGAUGCAGCGACGCCGCGUGAGGGAUGACGGCCUUCGGGUUGUAAACCUCUUUCAGUAGGGACGAAGCGCAAGUGACGGUACCUGCAGAAGAAGCACCGGCUAACUACGUGCCAGCAGCCGCGGUAAUACGUAGGGUGCGAGCGUUGUCCGGAAUUACUGGGCGUAAAGAGCUCGUAGGCGGUUUGUCACGUCGUCUGUGAAAUCCUAGGGCUUAACCCUGGACGUGCAGGCGAUACGGGCUGACUUGAGUACUACAGGGGAGACUGGAAUUUCUGGUGUAGCGGUGGAAUGCACAGAUAUCAGGAAGAACACCGAUGGCGAAGGCAGGUCUCUAGGUAGUAACUGACGCUGAGGAGCGAAAGCAUGGGUAGCGAACAGG
Molecule: ribosomal RNA, 409 nt
Filed under: bacterium
Lineage: Bacteria
Description: partial 16S ribosomal RNA
Rfam family: Bacterial small subunit ribosomal RNA
Source: RNAcentral